This 253-nucleotide ribosomal RNA is filed under the name uncultured bacterium. RNAcentral's name for it is "partial 16S ribosomal RNA". It matches the Rfam family "Bacterial small subunit ribosomal RNA", at positions 524 to 776 of the family's 1533-position model. The record is from RNAcentral.
GACAGAGGGGGCAAGCGUUGUUCGGAGUCACUGGGCGUAAAGCGCGCGCAGGCGGCAACCUAAGUGGCGUGUGAAAGCCCCCGGCUCAACCUGGGAAGGCCAUGGCAGACUGGCUCGCUCGAGUCGCGGAGAGGGUGCUCGAAUUGCCGGUGUAGCGGUGAAAUGCGUAGAUAUCGGGAGGAAGACCAAGGGGGAAGCCAGGGGGCUGGCCGCAGGCUGACGCUGAGGCGCGACAGCGUGGGGAGCAAACCGG